Molecule: unclassified non-coding RNA, 247 nt
Filed under: uncultured fungus
Lineage: Eukaryota; Fungi
Description: sequence contains ITS2
Source: RNAcentral
AACGCACAUUGCGCCCCUUGGUAUUCCAUGGGGCAUGCCUGUUCGAGCGUCAUCUACACCCUCAAGCUCUGCUUGGUGUUGGGCGUCUGUCCCGCCUCUGCGCGUGGACUCGCCCCAAAUUCAUUGGCAGCGGUCUUUGCCUCCUCUCGCGCAGCACAUUGCGCUUCUCGAGGUGCGCGGCCCGCGUCCACGAAGCAACAUUACCGUCUUUGACCUCGGAUCAGGUAGGGAUACCCGCUGAACUUAA